RNAcentral lists this ribosomal RNA (356 nucleotides) under uncultured bacterium. Its description in RNAcentral is "bacterial SSU rRNA". It matches the Rfam family "Bacterial small subunit ribosomal RNA", at positions 527 to 881 of the family's 1533-position model. The record is from RNAcentral.
GNAGGUGACAAGCGUNGUCCGGAUNUACUGGGUGUAAAGGGCGCGUAGGCGGACUGUCAAGUCAGUCGUGAAAUACCGGGGCUUAACCCCGGGGCNGCGAUUGAAACUGACAGCCUNGAGUAUCGGAGAGGAAAGCGGAAUUCCUAGUGUAGCGGUGAAAUGCGUAGAUAUUAGGAGGAACACCAGUGGCGAAGGCGGCUUUCUGGACGACAACUGACGCUGAGGCGCGAAAGUGUGGGGAGCAAACAGGAUUAGAUACCCUGGUAGUCCACACCGUAAACGAUGGAUACUAGGUGUAGGAGGUAUCGACCCCUUCUGUGCCGCAGUUAACACAAUAAGUAUCCCACCUGGGGAGU